UACGGGGGGUGCAAACGUUGCUCGGAAUCAUUGGGCGUAAAGCGCACGUAGGCGGUUUGUUAAGUCGGGUGUGAAAGCCCAGGGCUCAACCCUGGAAGUGCACUCGAAACUGGCAGGCUUGAAUAUGGAAGAGGGUCGCGGAAUUCCCGGUGUAGAGGUGAAAUUCGUAGAUAUCGGGAGGAACACCAGUGGCGAAGGCGGCGACCUGGGCCAAUAUUGACGCUGAGGUGCGAAAGCGUGGGGAGCAAACAGG
Molecule: ribosomal RNA, 253 nt
Filed under: uncultured bacterium
Lineage: Bacteria
Description: partial 16S ribosomal RNA
Rfam family: Bacterial small subunit ribosomal RNA
Source: RNAcentral